RNAcentral lists this transfer RNA (73 nucleotides) under Capra hircus (goat). It matches the Rfam family "tRNA". Rfam says of the family: Transfer RNA (tRNA) molecules are approximately 80 nucleotides in length. Their secondary structure includes four short double-helical elements and three loops (D, anti-codon, and T loops). Lineage: Eukaryota; Metazoa; Chordata; Mammalia; Artiodactyla; Bovidae. The record is from Rfam by way of RNAcentral. RNAcentral also lists the same sequence under 1 other name.
UCCCUGGUGGUCCAGUGGUUAGGACUCUGAGCUCUCACUACCAAGGGCCUGGGUUCAAUCCCCAGUCAGAGAA